Small nuclear RNA from Chlorocebus sabaeus (green monkey), 107 nucleotides. The record is from Ensembl. NCBI's taxonomy places the organism in Eukaryota, Metazoa, Chordata, Mammalia, Primates, Cercopithecidae.
GUGCUUGCUUCAGCAGCACAUAUACUAAAAUUGGACUGAUACAAAGAAGAUUAGCAUGACCCCUGCUCAAGGAUGACACGCAAGUUCAUAAAGCAUUCCAUUUUUUU